UAGUAUGGGUCAAGAGGUGAAAGUG
RNAcentral lists this non-coding RNA (25 nucleotides) under Mus musculus (house mouse). The record is from RNAcentral. Lineage: Eukaryota; Metazoa; Chordata; Mammalia; Rodentia; Muridae.